CCUACGGGGGGCAGCAGUGGGGAAUAUUGGACAAUGGGGGCAACCCUGAUCCAGCCAUGCCGCGUGUGUGAAGAAGGCCCUCGGGUUGUAAAGCACUUUCAGUGAGGAAGAACGCCUGGUGGUUAAUACCCAUCAGGAAAGACAUCACUCACAGAAGAAGCACCGGCUAACUCCGUGCCAGCAGCCGCGGUAAUACGGAGGGUGCGAGCGUUAAUCGGAAUUACUGGGCGUAAAGCGCGCGUAGGUGGCUUGAUAAGCCGGUUGUGAAAGCCCCGGGCUCAACCUGGGAACGGCAUCCGGAACUGUCAAGCUAGAGUGCAGGAGAGGAAGGUAGAAUUCCCGGUGUAGCGGUGAAAUGCGUAGAGAUCGGGAGGCAUACCAGUGGCGAAGGCGGCCUUCUGGACUGACACUGACACUGAGGUGCGAAAGCGUGGGUAGCAAACAGGAUUAGAUACCCUGGUAGUC
RNAcentral lists this ribosomal RNA (465 nucleotides) under Vreelandella stevensii. RNAcentral describes it as "partial 16S ribosomal RNA". It matches the Rfam family "Bacterial small subunit ribosomal RNA", at positions 338 to 795 of the family's 1533-position model. The record is from RNAcentral. Lineage: Bacteria; Pseudomonadati; Pseudomonadota; Gammaproteobacteria; Oceanospirillales; Halomonadaceae.